Long non-coding RNA from Cyprinus carpio carpio, 1057 nucleotides. Lineage: Eukaryota; Metazoa; Chordata; Actinopteri; Cypriniformes; Cyprinidae. The record is from Ensembl.
AAAAGCCAACAAAACCACUGCAACCGAAAUAUUACACACUUCUUUGUUCAGAACACGAUUUGCAUAGUAACCAUUUUUAAGACAUCAGAACAACUCUGCAAGGUUGCAGUGCACUCAGGAGUCAGGAAGAAGUGCGCCAUUUGAAAGGAGACGGCAGCAAGCAGGUUCACUUCUCUGUUGUGUGGGAGAUAGGUCUAACCACUAUUGGGGGCUGUGAAGAGGAAGCAACAGGUUUGCGAGUUGUUUGAUGCAGGAAUUGGAAUAUAAGCUACCUGAAACUCCUACCUGGAGCAGUCAGGCAUCUUCAGGCUCAAACAUUUCUCCAUUACAUUGAACGAAACUUUCAUUGUCAAGAGCAGAACAAUUGCUCAUGGCAAUUGCAAACAACUCUGAGGUGGAGGACCUCUCAGAUGGGGAAGAUAAUGAUCCUGCUGUGGACGAAGUCAUUUUACAAGAUGUUGACCUCAUGGAUGAGCAUCCUGAUUUUUCGCCACCCGAUUCAUCAGGAGAUGUUUCCGGUGAAGAGUACACACCACCUGAUGCAGCUGAAGAUACUGACUCUGAGAAUGAAAGUCAGCCAAAUCAUCCACAAGUGCACAGACGUGGACGUAAACAACAGCAUAUUGAGAAUGAUGAGCUGGAUGAGGAAGAUCAGAGACAUGGAGAGCCCAGACCAGAACCAAGGAAUGCUGGACGUGGAGAACGCUGGAGGUCUGCUCCAUUUAGACCAAAUUUGGUCCAGUUUCAGGAUGGAGAUGAUGGACUGAAAGAUGAGCGAACAGGUUGGCAGCCACUGGAUUAUGUGGAGCAGUACAUUGACUCAGACCUGAUGAAACUCAUUGCUGACUGCACAAAUGCCAUGUCACUGGGUAACAGUGAGAGAUCUCUCUCAACUUCGGUAGAUGAGAUUUAUCACUUUUUUGGAGCAGCAAUCUUGAUGUCUUGCGUGCCUUAUCCACAGAUAAGGAUGUUUUGGUCCAAUGCCCUACAAAUCCCAGCCAUUAGUAACACAAUGUCACGUGAUCGCUUCUUCAAACCAUCUGAAAGUAGUUAUUGA